AGAGUUUGAUCAUGGCUCAGAAUCAACGCUGGCGGCGCGCUUAACACAUGCAAGUCGCACGAGAAAGGGAGCAAUCCUAAGUAAAGUGGCGCACGGGUGAGUAACACGUGGAUCAUCUACCUUUUAGUGGGGAAUACCUCUGGGAAACCGGAGACAAUACCGCAUAAGCCUGUAAAGGGAAAGCAGCAAUGCGCUGAAAG
RNAcentral lists this ribosomal RNA (200 nucleotides) under uncultured bacterium. RNAcentral's name for it is "partial 16S ribosomal RNA". It matches the Rfam family "Bacterial small subunit ribosomal RNA", at positions 8 to 224 of the family's 1533-position model. The record is from RNAcentral.